RNAcentral lists this ribosomal RNA (492 nucleotides) under Starmerella bacillaris. Its description in RNAcentral is "partial large subunit ribosomal RNA". It matches the Rfam family "Eukaryotic large subunit ribosomal RNA", at positions 69 to 668 of the family's 3401-position model. Lineage: Eukaryota; Fungi; Ascomycota; Dipodascomycetes; Dipodascales; Trichomonascaceae. The record is from RNAcentral.
CUAGGUCAUGCUAGUACGGCGAGUGACAGGCAGAGCUCAGAUUUGAAAGGCACUUUUGUGCCGUUGUAUUCUGAAGUUAGGGUCCUGAGAAACGAUGCUUAAGUCUUCUGGAAAGGAGCGCCAUGGAGGGUGAUAGCCCCGUCUAGCAUUGACCUCAUAUAGGAUCUUAACAUGGAGUCGAGUUGUUUGGGAAUGCAGCUCAAAUGGGUGGUAUGCUCCAUCUAAAGCUAAAUAUCUGCGAGAGACCGAUAGUAAACAAGUACUGUGAGGGAAAGAUGAAAAGAACUUUGAAAAGAGAGUGAAAAAGUACGUGAAAUUGUUGAAAUGGAAGGGUAGGCCGCUAACCAUGUAGAGCCGUGUUUGGGGGGAAGAUAAAUGCUGUAGAAUGUAGCUCCUCGGAGUAUUAUAGAUGCAGUUCAUAUUCCCACCCGAGCGCGAGGAUCUCAGGUUCUACUAAAUGGUGGUCUACCACCCGUCUUGAACCACGGACCA